UACGGAGGGUGCGAGCGUUGUCCGGAAUUACUGGGCGUAAAGCGCGCGCAGGCGGCCCGCGAGGUGUCACGUGAAAGCCCCGGGCUCAACCCGGGAGGGUCGUGGCAAACCGGCGGGCUUGAGGCCGGUAGAGGUGGGUGGAACUCCUGGUGGAGUGGUGAAAUGCGUAGAGAUCAGGAAGAACACCCGUGGCGAAGGCGGCCUACUGGGCCGGUACUGACGCUGAGGCGCGAAGGCGUGGGGAGCGAACGGG
RNAcentral lists this ribosomal RNA (253 nucleotides) under uncultured bacterium. Its description in RNAcentral is "partial 16S ribosomal RNA". It matches the Rfam family "Bacterial small subunit ribosomal RNA", at positions 524 to 776 of the family's 1533-position model. The record is from RNAcentral.